Molecule: ribosomal RNA, 253 nt
Filed under: uncultured bacterium
Lineage: Bacteria
Description: partial 16S ribosomal RNA
Rfam family: Bacterial small subunit ribosomal RNA
Source: RNAcentral
UACGAGGGGUCCAAGCGUUGCUCGGAAUCAUUGGGCGUAAAGCGGGUGUAGGCGGUUUUAUAAGUCAGAAGUGAAAGCCCUGGGCUCAACCCAGGAAGUGCUUUUGAUACUAUUUAACUUGAGUAUGGGAGAGGGAAGUAGAAUUCCUGGUGUAGUGGUGAAAUACGUAGAUAUCAGGAGGAACACCGGAGGCGAAGGCGGCUUCCUGGCCCAAUACUGACGCUCAGACCCGAAAGCGUGGGUAGCAAACAGG